CAGAGUUGCAAAACUCCCUAAACCAUCGUGAACGUUACCUUUUGUCGUUGCUUCGGCGGGCGGCGCCCAGCGCCCCCGGGCCCCGUAAAGGGCGCCCGCCGGAGGUACCUAACUCUUGAUAACUGUAUGGCCUCUCUGAGUCUCUGUACUUAAUUAAGUCA
This 161-nucleotide unclassified non-coding RNA is filed under the name uncultured Chaetomium. RNAcentral describes it as "sequence contains ITS1". The record is from RNAcentral. Lineage: Eukaryota; Fungi; Ascomycota; Sordariomycetes; Sordariales; Chaetomiaceae.